Molecule: long non-coding RNA, 165 nt
Organism: Telopea speciosissima
Lineage: Eukaryota; Viridiplantae; Streptophyta; Magnoliopsida; Proteales; Proteaceae
Exons: 3
Source: RefSeq, a predicted model, not a curated record
GCUUCCAUACGGAGGAGUGAUUUGAUUCAGAUUGAAGGAACUAAAAGAGCCAGGGGCCGACUUAAAAUGACCUUAGGAGAAGUGGUAAGGAAAGACAUGCAUAGCUUAGGCCUUGUAUCAAGUAUAAUCUCGAACAGAGCUGAUUGAAGGACAAGAAUCUAUUUA